GAAAUGCGAUAAGUAAUGUGAAUUGCAGAAUUCAGUGAAUCAUCGAAUCUUUGAACGCACAUUGCGCCCGCCAGUAUUCUGGCGGGCAUGCCUGUUCGAGCGUCAUUUCAACCAUCAAGCCCCGGGCUUGUGUUGGGGACCUGCGGCUGCCGCAGGCCCUGAAAACCAGUGGCGGGCUCGCUGUCACACCGAGCGUAGUAGAUUCUCAUCUCGCUCAGGGCGUGCUGCGGGUUCCGCCCGUAAAACAGCCUUAUUUUACCCAAGGUUGACCUCGGAUCAGGUAGGAAGACCCGCUGAACUUAAGC
Molecule: unclassified non-coding RNA, 305 nt
Filed under: plant metagenome
Description: partial contains 5.8S ribosomal RNA, internal transcribed spacer 2, and large subunit ribosomal RNA
Rfam family: 5.8S ribosomal RNA (bases 1-105)
Source: RNAcentral